AGUAAAAUGGCUGAAUUAUAAGCAAUAAACUGUAAAUUUAUUUAUAGGAAAAAAUUCCUUUUUACU
RNAcentral lists this transfer RNA (66 nucleotides) under Brachycentrus maculatus. RNAcentral describes it as "tRNA-Tyr". It matches the Rfam family "tRNA". Rfam says of the family: Transfer RNA (tRNA) molecules are approximately 80 nucleotides in length. Their secondary structure includes four short double-helical elements and three loops (D, anti-codon, and T loops). Further hydrogen bonds mediate the characteristic L-shaped molecular structure. tRNAs have two regions of fundamental functional importance: the anti-codon, which is responsible for specific mRNA codon recognition, and the 3' end, to which the tRNAs corresponding amino acid is attached (by aminoacyl-tRNA synthetases). tRNAs cope with the degeneracy of the genetic code in two manners: having more than one tRNA (with a specific anti-codon) for a particular amino acid; and 'wobble' base-pairing, i.e. permitting non-standard base-pairing at the 3rd anti-codon position. Lineage: Eukaryota; Metazoa; Arthropoda; Insecta; Trichoptera; Brachycentridae. The record is from RNAcentral.